Molecule: ribosomal RNA, 440 nt
Filed under: uncultured bacterium
Lineage: Bacteria
Description: partial 16S ribosomal RNA
Rfam family: Bacterial small subunit ribosomal RNA
Source: RNAcentral
CUACGGGUCGCUGCAGUGAGGAAUCUUCCGCAAUGGGCGAAAGCCUGACGGAGCAACACCGCGUGAAGGAUGAAGUGGUUCGCCACGUAAACUUCUUUUCUGAGAGAAGAAUUCUGACGGUAUCUUAGGAAUAAGCGACGGCUAACUCUGUGCCAGCAGCCGCGGUAAGACAGAGGUCGCAAGCGUUAUCCGGAAUCACUGGGCGUAAAGCGUGUGUAGGCGGAACAUAAAGUCGGGGGUAAAAUUUUCAAGCUUAACUUGAAACGCGUCUCCGAAACUUAUGUUCUUGAAGGAUGGAGAGGCAAGUGGAAUUCUGUGUGUAGGGGUAAAAUCCGUUGAUACACGGAGGAACGCCAAAAGCGAAAGCAGCUUGCCGGCCAUUUCUUGACGCUGAGACACGAAAGCGUGGGGAGCAAACAGGAUUAGAUACCCGGGUAGUC